GGGUUGUGAGGUUAAGCGACUAAGCGUACACGGUGGAUGCCCUGGCAGUCAGAGGCGAUGAAGGACGUGCUAAUCUGCGAUAAGCGUCGGUGAGGUGAUAUGAACCGUUAUAACCGGCGAUUUCCGAAUGGGGAAACCCAGUGUGUUUCGACACACUAUCAUUAACUGAAUCCAUAGGUUAAUGAGGCGAACCGGGGGAACUGAAACAUCUAAGUACCCCGAGGAAAAGAAAUCAACCGAGAUUCCCCCAGUAGCGGCGAGCGAACGGGGAGGAGCCCAGAGCCUGAAUCAGUGUGUGUGUUAGUGGAAGCGUCUGGAAAGGCGCGCGAUACAGGGUGACAGCCCCGUACACAAAAAUGCACAUAUUGUGAGCUCGAUGAGUAGGGCGGGACACGUGGUAUCCUGUCUGAAUAUGGGGGGACCAUCCUCCAAGGCUAAAUACUCCUGACUGACCGAUAGUGAACCAGUACCGUGAGGGAAAGGCGAAAAGAACCCCGGCGAGGGGAGUGAAAAAGAACCUGAAACCGUGUACGUACAAGCAGUGGGAGCCUCUUUUAUGGGGUGACUGCGUACCUUUUGUAUAAUGGGUCAGCGACUUAUAUUCUGUAGCAAGGUUAACCGAAUAGGGGAGCCGAAGGGAAACCGAGUCUUAACUGGGCGUUAAGUUGCAGGGUAUAGACCCGAAACCCGGUGAUCUAGCCAUGGGCAGGUUGAAGGUUGGGUAACACUAACUGGAGGACCGAACCGACUAAUGUUGAAAAAUUAGCGGAUGACUUGUGGCUGGGGGUGAAAGGCCAAUCAAACCGGGAGAUAGCUGGUUCUCCCCGAAAGCUAUUUAGGUAGCGCCUCGUGAAUUCAUCUCCGGGGGUAGAGCACUGUUUCGGCAAGGGGGUCAUCCCGACUUACCAACCCGAUGCAAACUGCGAAUACCGGAGAAUGUUAUCACGGGAGACACACGGCGGGUGCUAACGUCCGUCGUGAAGAGGGAAACAACCCAGACCGCCAGCUAAGGUCCCAAAGUCAUGGUUAAGUGGGAAACGAUGUGGGAAGGCCCAGACAGCCAGGAUGUUGGCUUAGAAGCAGCCAUCAUUUAAAGAAAGCGUAAUAGCUCACUGGUCGAGUCGGCCUGCGCGGAAGAUGUAACGGGGCUAAACCAUGCACCGAAGCUGCGGCAGCGACACUAUGUGUUGUUGGGUAGGGGAGCGUUCUGUAAGCCUGUGAAGGUGGCCUGUGAGGGUUGCUGGAGGUAUCAGAAGUGCGAAUGCUGACAUAAGUAACGAUAAAGCGGGUGAAAAGCCCGCUCGCCGGAAGACCAAGGGUUCCUGUCCAACGUUAAUCGGGGCAGGGUGAGUCGACCCCUAAGGCGAGGCCGAAAGGCGUAGUCGAUGGGAAACAGGUUAAUAUUCCUGUACUUGGUGUUACUGCGAAGGGGGGACGGAGAAGGCUAUGUUGGCCGGGCGACGGUUGUCCCGGUUUAAGCGUGUAGGCUGGUUUUCCAGGCAAAUCCGGAAAACCAAGGCUGAGGCGUGAUGACGAGGCACUACGGUGCUGAAGUGACAAAUGCCCUGCUUCCAGGAAAAGCCUCUAAGCAUCAGGUAACAUCAAAUCGUACCCCAAACCGACACAGGUGGUCAGGUAGAGAAUACCAAGGCGCUUGAGAGAACUCGGGUGAAGGAACUAGGCAAAAUGGUGCCGUAACUUCGGGAGAAGGCACGCUGAUAUGUAGGUGAAGCGACUUGCUCGUGGAGCUGAAAUCAGUCGAAGAUACCAGCUGGCUGCAACUGUUUAUUAAAAACACAGCACUGUGCAAACACGAAAGUGGACGUAUACGGUGUGACGCCUGCCCGGUGCCGGAAGGUUAAUUGAUGGGGUUAGCGGUAACGCGAAGCUCUUGAUCGAAGCCCCGGUAAACGGCGGCCGUAACUAUAACGGUCCUAAGGUAGCGAAAUUCCUUGUCGGGUAAGUUCCGACCUGCACGAAUGGCGUAAUGAUGGCCAGGCUGUCUCCACCCGAGACUCAGUGAAAUUGAACUCGCUGUGAAGAUGCAGUGUACCCGCGGCAAGACGGAAAGACCCCGUGAACCUUUACUAUAGCUUGACACUGAACAUUGAGCCUUGAUGUGUAGGAUAGGUGGGAGGCUUUGAAGUGUGGACGCCAGUCUGCAUGGAGCCGACCUUGAAAUACCACCCUUUAAUGUUUGAUGUUCUAACGUUGGCCCGUAAUCCGGGUUGCGGACAGUGUCUGGUGGGUAGUUUGACUGGGGCGGUCUCCUCCUAAAGAGUAACGGAGGAGCACGAAGGUUGGCUAAUCCUGGUCGGACAUCAGGAGGUUAGUGCAAUGGCAUAAGCCAGCUUGACUGCGAGCGUGACGGCGCGAGCAGGUGCGAAAGCAGGUCAUAGUGAUCCGGUGGUUCUGAAUGGAAGGGCCAUCGCUCAACGGAUAAAAGGUACUCCGGGGAUAACAGGCUGAUACCGCCCAAGAGUUCAUAUCGACGGCGGUGUUUGGCACCUCGAUGUCGGCUCAUCACAUCCUGGGGCUGAAGUAGGUCCCAAGGGUAUGGCUGUUCGCCAUUUAAAGUGGUACGCGAGCUGGGUUUAGAACGUCGUGAGACAGUUCGGUCCCUAUCUGCCGUGGGCGCUGGAGAACUGAGGGGGGCUGCUCCUAGUACGAGAGGACCGGAGUGGACGCAUCACUGGUGUUCGGGUUGUCAUGCCAAUGGCACUGCCCGGUAGCUAAAUGCGGAAGAGAUAAGUGCUGAAAGCAUCUAAGCACGAAACUUGCCCCGAGAUGAGUUCUCCCUGACUCCUUGAGAGUCCUGAAGGAACGUUGAAGACGACGACGUUGAUAGGCCGGGUGUGUAAGCGCAGCGAUGCGUUGAGCUAACCGGUACUAAUGAACCGUGAGGCUUAACCUUACAACGCCGAAG
Molecule: ribosomal RNA, 2926 nt
Filed under: Escherichia coli
Lineage: Bacteria; Pseudomonadati; Pseudomonadota; Gammaproteobacteria; Enterobacterales; Enterobacteriaceae
Description: partial 23S ribosomal RNA
Rfam family: Bacterial large subunit ribosomal RNA
Source: RNAcentral